CCUACGGGGGGCAGCAGUGGGGAAUAUUGCACAAUGGGGGAAACCCUGAUGCAGCGACGCCGCGUGAGUGAAGAAGGAAUUCGUUAUGUAAAGCUCUAUCAGCAGGGAAGAAAAUGACGGUACCUGAGUAAGAAGCACCGGCUAACUACGUUCCAGCAGCCGCGGGAAUACGUAGGGGGCAGGCGUUAUCCGGAUGUACUGGGUGUAAAGGGAGCGCAGACGGCUGUGCAAGUCUGGAGUGAAAGGCGGGGGCCCAACCCCCGGACUGCUCUUGAAACUGUAAAGCUGGAGUGCAGGAGAGGUAAGCGGAAUUCCUAGUGUAGCGGUGAAAUGCGUAGAUAUUAGGAGGAACACCAGUGGCGAAGGCGGCUUACUGGACUGCAACUGACGUUGAGGCUCGAAAGCGUGGGGAGCAAACAGGAUUAGAUACCCUUGUAGUC
This 440-nucleotide ribosomal RNA is filed under the name uncultured bacterium. RNAcentral's name for it is "partial 16S ribosomal RNA". It matches the Rfam family "Bacterial small subunit ribosomal RNA", at positions 338 to 795 of the family's 1533-position model. The record is from RNAcentral.